UGGGGAAUAUUGGACAAUGGGCGCAAGCCUGAUCCAGCCAUGCCGCGUGAGUGAUGAAGGCCUUAGGGUUGUAAAGCUCUUUCGCCGGUGAAGAUAAUGACGGUAACCGGAGAAGAAGCCCCGGCUAACUUCGUGCCAGCAGCCGCGGUAAUACGAAGGGGGCUAGCGUUGCUCGGAAUCACUGGGCGUAAAGCGCACGUAGGCGGAUCGUUAAGUCAGGGGUGAAAUCCUGGAGCUCAACUCCAGAACUGCCCUUGAUACUGGCGAUCUCGAGUUCGAGAGAGGUUGGUGGAACUCCGAGUGUAGAGGUGAAAUUCGUAGAUAUUCGGAAGAACACCAGUGGCGAAGGCGGCCAACUGGCUCGAUACUGACGCUGAGGUGCGAAAGCGUGGGGAGCAAAACAGGAUUAGAUACCCUGGUAGUCCACGCCGUAAACGAUGGAUGCUAGCCGUUGGGGGGUUUACCUCUCAGUGGCGCAGCUAACGCCUUAAGCAUCCCGCCU
Molecule: ribosomal RNA, 502 nt
Filed under: uncultured bacterium
Lineage: Bacteria
Description: partial 16S ribosomal RNA
Rfam family: Bacterial small subunit ribosomal RNA
Source: RNAcentral